RNAcentral lists this ribosomal RNA (1257 nucleotides) under metagenome. Its description in RNAcentral is "bacterial LSU rRNA". It matches the Rfam family "Bacterial large subunit ribosomal RNA", at positions 1678 to 2925 of the family's 2925-position model. The record is from RNAcentral.
CCUCUAAGGCGCUUGAGAGAACUCAGGAGAAGGAACUCGGCAAAUUGACACCGUAACUUCGGAAGAAGGUGUGCCUUUAGUAGGUGAACCUGUACAAGGGGAGCCCAAUGAGGUUGCAAAAAAUCGGUGGCUGCGACUGUUUAAUAAAAACACAGCACUCUGCAAACACGAAAGUGGACGUAUAGGGUGUGACGCCUGCCCGGUGCUGGAAGAUUAAAUGAUGGGGUGCAAGCUCUUGAUUGAAGUCCCAGUAAACGGCGGCCGUAACAAUAACGGUCCUAAGGUAGCGAAAUUCCUUGUCGGGUAAGUUCCGACCUGCACGAAUGGCGUAACGAUGGCCACACUGUCUCCUCCUGAGACUCAGCGAAGUUGAAAUGUUUGUGAUGAUGCAAUCUCCCCGCGGAAAGACGGAAAGACCCCAUGAACCUUUACUGUAGCUUUGUAUUGGACUUUGAACAGAUCUGUGUAGGAUAGGUGGGAGGCUUUGAAGUGUGGUCGCUAGAUCGCAUGGAGCCAACGUUGAAAUACCACCCUGGUGUGUUUGAGGUUCUAACCUAGGCCCGUAAUCCGGGUCGGGGACAGUGCAUGGUAGGCAGUUUGACUGGGGCGGUCUCCUCCCAAAGCGUAACGGAGGAGUUCGAAGGUACGCUAGGUACGGUCGGACAUCGUGCUAAUAGUGCAAUGGCAUAAGCGUGCUUAACUGCGAGACUGACAAGUCGAGCAGAUGCGAAAGCAGGACAUAGUGAUCCGGUGGUUCUGUAUGGAAGGGCCAUCGCUCAACGGAUAAAAGGUACUCUGGGGAUAACAGGCUGAUACCGCCCAAGAGUUCAUAUCGACGGCGGUGUUUGGCACCUCGAUGUCGGCUCAUCUCAUCCUGGGGCUGUAGCCGGUCCCAAGGGUAUGGCUGUUCGCCAUUUAAAGAGGUACGUGAGCUGGGUUUAAAACGUCGUGAGACAGUUUGGUCCCUAUCUUCCGUGGGCGCUGCAGAUUUGAGGAAGCCUGCUCCUAGUACGAGAGGACCGGAGUGGACACACCUCUGGUGUAUCGGUUGUCACGCCAGUGGCAUUGCCGAGUAGCUAUGUGUGGAAGAGAUAACCGCUGAAAGCAUCUAAGCGGGAAACUCGUUUCAAGAUGAGAUCUGCCGGGGCCUUGAGCCCCCUAAAGAGUCGUUCAAGACCAGGACGUUGAUAGGUCGGGUGUGGAAGCGCAGUAAUGCGUUAAGCUAACCGAUACUAAUUGCUCGUGCGGCUUGACCCC